Long non-coding RNA from Lontra canadensis (Northern American river otter), 487 nucleotides. RefSeq lists it as uncharacterized. The transcript has 3 exons. The record is from RefSeq and is a predicted model, not a curated record. Lineage: Eukaryota; Metazoa; Chordata; Mammalia; Carnivora; Mustelidae.
UUGGUGAAGAGAAAGAAAACAAACUGUGUAACUCAGUGGAGGAAGUCCAUAAAUAUUUGUUAAAUAGUGUGGAAUUUUAUGUAAGAAGAGAUAGGAACCAGAGAGAUCAUGUGAGUUCCUCAAGCUAUCGGAAGAAAUAUCACUCCUUAUUGUGAAAACAAUAUGUAACUCUGUUUAUUGAAAGGACCCUCGUGAAUGCCUUAGGAAGCUAAGUAAUGCAAGUCACUCUCUGAGCUGUCACUUCAUCAGAGGAUGCUUUGGUUGCGGAAUGGAGCAGAUGUUCUGCUACAUUUGUGUACUUUAAACACCCUGAAAGCAUAAAGCCAGACUAAGAGCACUUGUUGGUGAAUGGAAGAUGCAAGUAAAGAUGAAAAGGCUAGAGCCACAGGAAGAAUGACAGCCGCCAGCAGGUUGUGGAGACCAUUUGGCUGGAAUACAUUUAAAGGACCCAAAUGGUAAUGGUAACAAUGUCUUGCACAAUAGCCAG